GGAAGGGGUGUAUUUAUUAGAUAAAAAUCAACUUUGUUGGUGAAUCAUAAUAACUUCUCGGACCGCAUGGCCUCGUGCUGGCGGUGCUUCAUUCAAGUAUCUGCCCUAUCAACUGUCGAUGGUAGGAUAGAGGCCUACCAUGGUUGCAACGGGUAACGGGGAAUAAGGGUUCGAUUCCGGAGAGGGAGCCUGAGAAACGGCUACCACAUCCAAGGAAGGCAGCAGGCGCGCAAAUUACCCAAUCCCAACACGGGGAGGUAGUGACAAUAUGUAACAAUAUACGGCCUUAUACGUCGUAUAAUUGGAAUGAGUACAAUUUAAAUCCCUUAACGAGGAACAAUUGGAGGGCAAGUCUGGUGCCAGCAGCCGCGGUAAUUCCAGCUCCAAUAGCGUAUAUUAAAGUUGUUGCAGUUAAAAAGCUCGUAGUUGGACCUUGGACCUGGACAGGCGGUCCGCCUCACGGCGAGUACUGUCUUGCUGGGUCUUUCCUCUUGGUGAUCUGUUGUUUCGGCAGCGGGGAACCAGGACUUUUACA
Molecule: ribosomal RNA, 535 nt
Filed under: uncultured fungus
Lineage: Eukaryota; Fungi
Description: SSU rRNA
Rfam family: Eukaryotic small subunit ribosomal RNA
Source: RNAcentral